GCGAGAGUGGCGGAAUUGGUAGACGCGCUGGAUUUAGGUUCCAGUACCGCAAGGUGUGAGAGUUCGAGUCUCUCCUUUCGCACCA
RNAcentral lists this transfer RNA (85 nucleotides) under Pseudomonadales bacterium. Its description in RNAcentral is "tRNA-Leu". It matches the Rfam family "tRNA". From Rfam's summary of the family: Transfer RNA (tRNA) molecules are approximately 80 nucleotides in length. Their secondary structure includes four short double-helical elements and three loops (D, anti-codon, and T loops). Lineage: Bacteria; Pseudomonadati; Pseudomonadota; Gammaproteobacteria; Pseudomonadales. The record is from RNAcentral. RNAcentral also lists the same sequence under 1 other name.